Long non-coding RNA from Gordionus sp. m RMFG-2023, 411 nucleotides. RefSeq lists it as uncharacterized. NCBI's taxonomy places the organism in Eukaryota, Metazoa, Nematomorpha, Gordioida, Chordodea, Parachordodidae. The record is from RefSeq and is a predicted model, not a curated record. The transcript is spliced from 3 exons.
AUAAGAAUCACCUCAUUUUUAAUAUCUAUCAUGCCAAAGAUAUUUAUGAGACGAAGUUAGACACUAACAUCGAAGAUUUAGCCGGCCAACAAUACAAACUGUAUUAUCGCCAUAAGAUAUGGGAUAGGAAUGAGGAUAAAGGUAUUUCCUUGACCCUCACUAGCACAACCCCUUGGGAAAACUUGAAAGAUUUGGAUAUGUUAGUAGAUGUCACGGUUCAGGGUUCUAUUUUACUUGGGAAAUUAAAGAUGACCCACAAUAAUCACAAACUAAUUGGCACUCUAGGCGGCACGUACAAUCCCGACAAGGCUAUUAUUGCUAACGUAAAUGCCACAAGCACUAUCGAUAAUUUUACAGUCGUUCGUUUAUCCAUAAGAAGCGAGAAGGUUAAAAGUCAAUGGCUUCAUAAUU